Molecule: small RNA, 134 nt
Filed under: Salmonella enterica subsp. enterica serovar Mikawasima
Lineage: Bacteria; Pseudomonadati; Pseudomonadota; Gammaproteobacteria; Enterobacterales; Enterobacteriaceae
Description: RtT sRNA
Rfam family: RtT RNA
About the family: This family represents a bacterial cis-regulatory element known as RtT RNA. The exact function of RtT is unknown although it is thought that it may be involved in changing the cellular response in relation to amino acid starvation.
Source: RNAcentral
UGUAUCUGAAGUCUGACGAGGAUGAGAACCUCCGGGGGCAAGAGGUUCGACUCGAGCGAAGCGAGAGAACGUUGCGUCAGCAACGGCCCGCAGGGCGAGCCACGCAGCGGCGAGUCAUCCUCUAUCACCGACCA